This 497-nucleotide ribosomal RNA is filed under the name uncultured bacterium. RNAcentral describes it as "partial 16S ribosomal RNA". It matches the Rfam family "Bacterial small subunit ribosomal RNA", at positions 28 to 507 of the family's 1533-position model. The record is from RNAcentral.
GAUGAACGCUGGCGGCGUGCCUAAUACAUGCAAGUCGAGCGAACGGACGAGAAGCUUGCUUCUCUGAUGUUAGCGGCGGACGGGUGAGUAACACGUGGAUAACCUACCUAUAAGACUGGGAUAACUUCGGGAAACCGUAGCUAAUACCGGAUAAUAUUUUGAACCGCAUGGUUCAAAAGUGAAAGACGGUCUUGCUGUCACUUAUAGAUGGAUCCGCGCUGCAUUAGCUAGUUGGUAAGGUAACGGCUUACCUAGGCAACGAUGCAUAGCCGACCUGAGAGGGUGAUCGGCCACACUGGAACUGAGACACGGUCCAGACUCCUACGGGAGGCAGCAGUAGGGAAUCUUCCGCAAUGGGCGAAAGCCUUACGGAGCAACGCCGCGUGAGUGAUGAAGGACUUCGGAUCGUAAAACUCUGUUAUUAGGGAAGAACAUAUGUGUAAGUAACUGUGCACAUCUUGACGGUACCUAGUCAGAAAGCCACGGCUAACUACGUG